RNAcentral lists this ribosomal RNA (497 nucleotides) under uncultured bacterium. RNAcentral describes it as "partial 16S ribosomal RNA". It matches the Rfam family "Bacterial small subunit ribosomal RNA", at positions 28 to 507 of the family's 1533-position model. The record is from RNAcentral.
GAUGAACGCUGGCGGCGUGCCUAAUACAUGCAAGUCGAGCGAACAGACGAGGAGCUUGCUCCUCUGACGUUAGCGGCGGACGGGUGAGUAACACGUGGAUAACCUACCUAUAAGACUGGGAUAACUUCGGGAAACCGGAGCUAAUACCGGAUAAUAUAUUGAACCGCAUGGUUCAAUAGUGAAAGACGGUUUUGCUGUCACUUAUAGAUGUAUCCGCGCCGCAUUAGCUAGUUGGUAAGGUAACGGCUUACCAAGGCAACGAUGCGUAGCCGACCUGAGAGGGUGAUCGGCCAAACGGGAAAUGAGACACGGACCAGACUCCUACGGGAGGCAGCAGUAGGGAAUCUUCCGCAAUGGGCGAAAGCCUGACGGAGCAACGCCGAGUGAGUGAUGAAGGUCUUCGGAUCGUAAAACUCUGUUAUUAGGGAAGAACAAAUGUGUAAGUAAAUAUGCACGUAUUGACGGUACCUAAUCAGAAAGCCACGGCUAACUACGUG